CUCUUUGGUUGUAUAUCUGUUAUAGAUGGUCUACAGUAUAAUUGCUAUGAUUAUUACAUAUACAGUUUAAUCUUUUUUUGUGGCAUUAAAGUUGUUAAAGGUGUUGUAUAGAGAUAAGGACACAAAUAACACAUGACACUCAGUACUGUUGCUAUGGGAGAGUUUCUCAGAUAUUUGAGCAUCAACCGGACCUCGACACUGAUAUGUUGCAUCUGUAUUUUCCUGGAAGCAGGUGGGAACAGCAUCUCCUUGGCAGCUGGGAGCAGAGUGACCCUGCACUGUAGCAAUAACUCAAUCAGCGACCUCCUUCAACUGAGAUGGGGAAGGAAUGGGACUCAUCUGUUUAGUUUCAAGGCACAGAAAACCUCAAACAACAGCUCUGUGACCUUAAGCAGUAAUCGGAACAUGUCAGACAGCAGAAUAAUAAGGUCUCAUGCAGCUGCCAUCCUGAAUCUAAGCAUGUCAACCUUAGAAAGCCAACUGUAUGCACUAAUCAUAGAGGGAGCCCAGAAAUAUCACGAAGGAAACUACACUUGUGAAAUGACCACAGACUCAGGAGUCUUCGAACAGAAAUGGGAGCUCAUAAUUACAGAGGAAGCUGAAUCAUGUAAAAUCCAUGAUGCCACAGCAGUUAUUGUACGUUGUGUGUGUUUCCUGGUUAUUACAAUUACUGCUUUGGCCAUUAUGAGAAAAGUCUGCAAAUAACGAUCAAAGUAAGUUGCUUCCAUUUAUUCUAUGACACGAUCUUGUGCUAAUGGAAUCAGUCUGCAGGGAUAAACAACAAAAUCUCUCUCUCUCUCUUUUCACAGAAACAUCAUCAGAUCUCUCAGUGCAAGAUUGUCUGUUGAGAAUUUAUGACUUUAAUACAAUUAAUAUUAGACAAUAGGAUAUACAGUUCAGUCCACAACUUUGCCUUGUACUCCAUCCACAGUGGAUUUUUAAAUUAAAUAUUUGGUAUGUGAUUGAAGUGCAGACUUUCAGCUUUAAUAAUAAGAAGUUCAUCAAAAGUAUUACAACUGUUUAUCUAUUUUUAUAUAUACAUAGGCCUCCAUUUUUUAUUUUUACCAACUUUUGCAUUUUUACUAAGUCCUUGGGGGACAAUGAAUAGUCAAAGCCAUGGACAUCCCCAAAUGUCGCAUUGCCUCCAUUGAGAUGCUCUGCUAGGCCUUUGUUGCAGCGUUCAGUUGCAGUUGUUUGUGGGUCUUUCUGCUUUCAAUUUUGUCUUUGGUAACUAAAAGGUGCUCUGCUGGACCCAGAUGUGGUGACUGGCUUGGUAAGUAUCACACAUAACAGAAUGCCUGAUGUUGGCCAAUGCCCAUUUUCUUUGUCUAGAGAAACUCGUGAUUUGUUUUGACAGUAUGGGUGGAGUAAAUGCCCUGCAUCUAGCUCAGUGGGAGUAGAGAGUAACACCCUCUACAGAUCUGGAAUCUGUUUCAUAUGUUAUGAAACAAUAAGGGUACAGUCCUCAGCGGGCCAUGAAACCACUGACUGUAAUUCCUAAACAACUAAUGCAAUACUUUUGUAAAACACCUUGAUCAAAAGCUGAAAAACUGCACUUUAAUCGCAUCUUAAUCAUUUGAUUUAAAAUCUGGUGUGGUUGUGUACAGAGGCAAAAUUACAAAAAACAAAAAUGUGUCCAAAACCGUAUGGUUCUCCCUGCAGGCUAGUAUGAAAUCAAUCUGAACUACUAUAUCGUCCACUUUAGGAAAGGAUAAUGAAAUUUACUGAGCCUGAAGACACUGAUUUUUCUUCUGUAGGAGGUGCAGAGAAGAUCUUUAUGAAAACUCCUGGGAAAUUGAAACUUGGUCAGAUUCAGUUCGACUCUUACAAAUACAGGGCUGAAUGACCUAAAUUUUCAUGGUUCUGGGUCAUUUUGACCCAGUGUUUUUAAAUUCUUGUGUUUUGGUGUAAUUUUUGUCUUAUGGUUUAUGUUUUAGGUUCAUUAGCAGUCUUUAGAUUAGUCUGUCUUGAGGUUCUUAUAUUCCUUUUUGGUUCCUUGUCCUUUAGGUUCCCCUUGUGUCUCUGUCCUCUGUGUUUGUGUGUGCCCUUGUGUCUUCUUUCCCUUUUGUUCCCAUGUUCUCCUCAUGUUUCAUUAAAUGCCCCCCCCCCCCGCUGGUCAUGUUUAUCCCAUGUCUCUCCUCUUGCUCUUUCUCAGGUUCCUUGCUCUCUCUCUCUGUGUCUCGACUACGUCCUAAUGCUUCCUGUUUUACUUUGAUAGUCUCCUGUCUGGUGUGCGUCAGUUUUGUUUCCCUGUCUCAUUAGUUAGAUCACAUUCAGCCCUUGUGUGUAUUUAUGUUUGCGUCUCCCUGUGUCCUGAUCUCCCUCAUGGCUGUGUGUUCCUCUGUAUGUUUAGUUUUGUUUCCUGUAUUUCAGUUUGGUUUAAUUUAGUUGUGUAUCUCCUGUACUCCAGCAAUAAAGCUGUGUUUUUUUUGAGUACUGCCUGUGAGUCUGCUUUUGUCUCCUAUCCUGCCUGCUGUGUACACCAAAUGACACACAAUAAAAGAAGAGACAACUUUGAGCUUUAAACUUUCAAGUUAUGUCUGAUCAUGAGCACCCAAGAUUUUUCCCCCAGCACAUUUCUUCCUCAGACAUUAUACCACCACCACACAAAACACAACCACUACCUUUAAUCCACCGGAUGAUAAAAAUGUGUCAUAUUUUUCAUAAAAAGUUGACUUAUUUCAUUAAAAAUUCUUAAAAGCUGAUCUUUAUCUCCUCCCUUAUUAACAUCCACAACUGUGACACUAUAUAGGCAUAAAGAGUGUUAAGCAUUUUACUGGACUCGGGGGCCUUAUGCAUGAAGCAACUUCAACAUAGCUGCAGGUUUCUUUAUUAAUCCAGUCUUUCUUCACUCACACAUUUAACUCUUCUUUUACACAGAACUGAAUACUUGAGUUCCACUUAAUUGAAAUGGGUGAUAAUCCAUAAUAAAAAUACAAAAAAUAAAAGGGGGGCAACAGGAAACACUGCAGCUGGAAAUAAGGGCAAGAGCUGUGGUAAACUGUUGUGCUGCUAUUUAUUUUUAAAGUGACAUUAAGCUGCACAUAGGGGUUGUUAUACUGUCAAGCUGCUGCACAAAAAAUCAUAGUCUACUCUGUGCAUUCAUGGUCUGAUAUUGUGCCACAGCGUAUUUAAAUAGAUGUGGAAAUUUCUUGGUUUGUGGACAGAUCAAAGUGAAAUGAAUUACACUGAUCAAAUAUUUGUCAAGAUAAACAGCUGACUGUUGCUACUGUUUCCAUUUGGUGGUUUAAAACAUAUUUAUAGGUUUUCUGUGUCACUAACCGAAUAUUUUAUAAAUUCUAGUGUAAGUUCCCAGAAGAUCAUCAUUUGGUGGGAAUAGUGAGAUAUGUCUUAACAGGUUUCAGCAGAGACUCCAUAGCAUCCAUAGUGCAUUAGAAGACUCAUUUAAAGGACUUUAAACCAUCUCCAGUUCAUUAUGUGUUCAGCAUGAGUUAUCAUGGUAAUCUAGUGAGGUGGGAAGUAAGACAUCUUUGCGACACUGCAAACACUGACUUCAAGUGAAACGUACACACACAAACUCAGACAUUGGUCAAUCGUUGACCAAACCAAGGAGUUUCCAUUUUGUAGACACUGCAUGAAUCAGUGUGAAUAAAAGUGUCUCACUUAUGUGCUGUCAUGUUUGUGAGGUUGUGUGCAGGGUUAACCACUGAAAAAUAAGUAAUUAUAACUCAUUAAAA
This is a long non-coding RNA of Oreochromis aureus, 3698 nucleotides long. RefSeq lists it as uncharacterized. The transcript is spliced from 4 exons. The record is from RefSeq and is a predicted model, not a curated record. Lineage: Eukaryota; Metazoa; Chordata; Actinopteri; Cichliformes; Cichlidae.